UCACUCCAUUUAGCUAAUAUCAGUCUGCACUGCCUUCGGGCUAUUUUGUCAAGUUCACAAAAUGUGGAACGGGAUGUAAGGUUAGAAUCAGCGGCGAAUCGGAACAUAUCUCGAAGCCCUGGCCGACAAAACGGUCCACAUGACUGUCAGGCUCAGAGAAAAUUCGGGUUGUUUUUGUGUCAGUCGGUAAUUCAGCAACAGUGACUCUAAACUGACGCAGCACUAGUUGACAGACAGCAUUACAGCGUGAAAUCUAGCACAGCGUGACCCGGUUCCGUGAGGAAUUCUGUUCAGGAGGUCGCAUUUCAGGGUCUCCACAUCAUAUGUGACUGACUUUUACUUUAUAAUAACAUCACACACUAGGAAUGUUAUAAAGCGCCUAUAUGGGACAGUUUCUUUUGUAUUUUAUCUGACUUUAUAAACAUCAAUGUGCUUCUAUUUUUUUUCAGGCUAAAUCUACCCAAGACACUGGCUGUCAGACUGAUUUAGUAAUCUGCAAGAAUGCACUUGUCCAGGCUGACGUGGUGUUACCCGUAGCAAAGAGCUCACAGCCUCAGUGUCUUGUGACACAGGGACCAUGACAGAAAUUCAUCUUCCAGAAGGUCCCAGAGCAUCCACACCUCCUGAAAAGACCACGGUGUGAGGUGUCUGCUGUUGAUUCCAGCUUCCACCUCAGUGACAGUGCAAGCUCAGUGAACUGUUCAAGGAGGCUACUGAUUCUGGCCCUGUGACACUUGGUGGUCACCACCAGGUGGUGACGUGUGAGCUGAUUCACCUGGACACUCAGCAAAAUAUGGACUCUACACCAUGAGGCAGGCACACGUUAAUAACUCUAUAAGAGCACAUAAGCCUGGCUGAUCACCUGAUAACUCCUGUCAUCUGGUUAUGACAGCAUGAGGAUGUCCUCACACACCUGUAACCUAUCAGCUCAUCUGGCAGAAUAGAGAGAGAAGAGACAACACCACAUCUCCUGUUCCUGGAAAGCCUUUAGCCAUCCUUCGAUGACU
Non-coding RNA from Nothobranchius furzeri (turquoise killifish), 1007 nucleotides. NCBI's taxonomy places the organism in Eukaryota, Metazoa, Chordata, Actinopteri, Cyprinodontiformes, Nothobranchiidae. The record is from RefSeq and is a predicted model, not a curated record.